UCCUUUCCAAGAUGUAAUCAAGCCGU
This 26-nucleotide non-coding RNA is filed under the name Mus musculus (house mouse). Lineage: Eukaryota; Metazoa; Chordata; Mammalia; Rodentia; Muridae. The record is from RNAcentral.